Molecule: ribosomal RNA, 1442 nt
Filed under: uncultured organism
Description: 16S ribosomal RNA
Rfam family: Bacterial small subunit ribosomal RNA
Source: RNAcentral
UCAGGAUGAACGCUAGCUACAGGCUUAACACAUGCAAGUCGAGGGGCAGCAUGGUCUUAGCUUGCUAAGGCCGAUGGCGACCGGCGCACGGGUGAGUAACACGUAUCCAACCUGCCGUCUACUCUUGGACAGCCUUCUGAAAGGAAGAUUAAUACAAGAUGGCAUCAUGAGUCCGCAUGUUCACAUGAUUAAAGGUAUUCCGGUAGACGAUGGGGAUGCGUUCCAUUAGAUAGUAGGCGGGGUAACGGCCCACCUAGUCUUCGAUGGAUAGGGGUUCUGAGAGGAAGGUCCCCCACAUUGGAACUGAGACACGGUCCAAACUCCUACGGGAGGCAGCAGUGAGGAAUAUUGGUCAAUGGGCGAGAGCCUGAACCAGCCAAGUAGCGUGAAGGAUGACUGCCCUAUGGGUUGUAAACUUCUUUUAUAAAGGAAUAAAGUCGGGUAUGCAUACCCGUUUGCAUGUACUUUAUGAAUAAGGAUCGGCUAACUCCGUGCCAGCAGCCGCGGUAAUACGGAGGAUCCGAGCGUUAUCCGGAUUUAUUGGGUUUAAAGGGAGCGUAGAUGGAUGUUUAAGUCAGUUGUGAAAGUUUGCGGCUCAACCGUAAAAUUGCAGUUGAUACUGGAUAUCUUGAGUGCAGUUGAGGCAGGCGGAAUUCGUGGUGUAGCGGUGAAAUGCUUAGAUAUCACGAAGAACUCCGAUUGCGAAGGCAGCCUGCUAAGCUGCAACUGACAUUGAGGCUCGAAAGUGUGGGUAUCAAACAGGAUUAGAUACCCUGGUAGUCCACACGGUAAACGAUGAAUACUCGCUGUUUGCGAUAUACAGCAAGCGGCCAAGCGAAAGCGUUAAGUAUUCCACCUGGGGAGUACGCCGGCAACGGUGAAACUCAAAGGAAUUGACGGGGGCCCGCACAAGCGGAGGAACAUGUGGUUUAAUUCGAUGAUACGCGAGGAACCUUACCCGGGCUUAAAUUGCAGAUGAAUUACGGUGAAAGCCGUAAGCCGCAAGGCAUCUGUGAAGGUGCUGCAUGGUUGUCGUCAGCUCGUGCCGUGAGGUGUCGGCUUAAGUGCCAUAACGAGCGCAACCCUUGUUGUCAGUUACUAACAGGUUCCGCUGAGGACUCUGACAAGACUGCCAUCGUAAGAUGUGAGGAAGGUGGGGAUGACGUCAAAUCAGCACGGCCCUUACGUCCGGGGCUACACACGUGUUACAAUGGGGGGGUACAGAGGGCCGCUACCACGCGAGUGGAUGCCAAUCCCAAAAACCUCUCUCAGUUCGGACUGGAGUCUGCAACCCGACUCCACGAAGCUGGAUUCGCUAGUAAUCGCGCAUCAGCCACGGCGCGGUGAAUACGUUCCCGGGCCUUGUACACACCGCCCGUCAAGCCAUGGGAGCCGGGGGUACCUGAAGUGCGUAACCGCGAGGAGCGCCCUAGGGUAAAACU